GCGGUUGUCAGCCAGACAAAGACAGUCAGUCUGAUGUGAUUGAGACAAGGGAGGUUUUUCAGGGGGAGACUGGGAGAUAGGGGCCUCCCCUCCCCCUUCUCCUCUUCCUGCGCCGGCCUCAACCCCUCCCCAGUCCCCUCCCGACGGGCGCCCCACGCGGAAGACACCCCUCCCCCUCCCGCUUUCCCUCCUCCCUACCUCAGCCCUUCGUAUUGGGACGUUGGGGAGGGGGCUGUGCCGGGCGGAGAGAACUCAGCGAGGAUUCUGAGAAUGGUAGAUAACGCAGAUCAUCUCUGGAAAGGAUAUUGAUCCUCCUCAUGUAAAGUAUGCUCAGUUCCUUUCCAGUGGUUUUGCUGGAAACCAUGUCUCAUUAUACAGAUGAACCCAGAUUUACCAUAGAGCAGAUAGAUCUGCUUCAGCGACUUCGGCGUACUGGAAUGACUAAACAUGAAAUUCUCCAUGCCUUGGAAACUUUGGACCGUCUUGAUCAAGAGCAUAGUGACAAGUUUGGAAGAAGGUCCAGCUAUGGAGGAAGUUCAUAUGGGAAUAGUACCAACAAUGUCCCAGCAUCUUCCUCUACAGCUACAGCUUCCACACAGACGCAGCAUUCGGGAAUGUCCCCAUCACCUAGCAACAGUUACGAUACUUCCCCACAGCCUUGCACUACCAAUCAAAAUGGGAGGGAGAAUAAUGAGCGAUUAUCUACAUCCAAUGGAAAGAUGUCACCAGCUCGCUACCAUGCAAACAGCAUGGGUCAGAGGUCAUACAGUUUUGAAGCCUCAGAAGAGGACCUAGAUGUAGAUGAUAAAGUGGAAGAAUUAAUGAGGUUGGUGACUUUGCUUAUUCAGAGUCCCUAAAAACGUCUGUAUUCUUAGAUUGUUUUUAAGUAGUAUGCUGCGUUUCAGCUACUUAGCUAUAAGAACUGUAACUUCCUCCUCCCAACUUUGGAGAUGA
This 954-nucleotide small RNA is filed under the name Pongo abelii (Sumatran orangutan). Its description in RNAcentral is "retained intron". Lineage: Eukaryota; Metazoa; Chordata; Mammalia; Primates; Hominidae. The record is from RNAcentral.